GACGAACGCUGGCGGCGCGCCUAACACAUGCAAGUCGAACGGAGCUGAGAGAAGCUUGCUUUUCUUAGCUUAGUGGCGCAAGGGUGAGUAACGCGUGAGUAACCUGCCCUGGAGUGGGGGACAACAGUUGGAAACGACUGCUAAUACCGCAUAAGCUCACGAUCCGGCAUCGGAUUGAGGGAAAAGGGUUUAUUCGCUUCAGGAUGGACUCGCGUCCAAUUAGCUAGUUGGUGAGGUAACGGCGCACCAAGGCGACGAUUGGUAGCCGGACUGAGAGGUUGAGCGGCCACAUUGAGACUGAGACACGGCCCAGACUCCUGCGGGAGGCAGCAGUGGGGGAUAUUGCACAGUAGGGGAAACGCUGAUGCAGCGACGCCGCGUGGAGGAAGAAGGUUUUCGGAUUGUAAACUCCUGUCGUUAGGGAUGAUAGUGAGGGUACCUAACAAGAAAGCACCGGCUAACUACGUG
RNAcentral lists this ribosomal RNA (468 nucleotides) under uncultured bacterium. RNAcentral's name for it is "partial 16S ribosomal RNA". It matches the Rfam family "Bacterial small subunit ribosomal RNA", at positions 28 to 507 of the family's 1533-position model. The record is from RNAcentral.